Rosa rugosa (rugosa rose) is the source of this 893-nucleotide long non-coding RNA. RefSeq lists it as uncharacterized. The record is from RefSeq and is a predicted model, not a curated record. Lineage: Eukaryota; Viridiplantae; Streptophyta; Magnoliopsida; Rosales; Rosaceae. The transcript has 4 exons.
CUCGUUGUUCUCUCUGUGUCAUUUGUCUUCCUCUUAUCAGAAGCUCUAUCUACUAGUUUUGAUUCCAAGUUGAACUAUAUGGAGAGGUCUUGGGAAACAGGAUGAGGCUAGGAUGCAGCUGUUGGGGAUGUUACAAUAACUACGAAUAGGACAAGAAUGGUUGAUUUUACACAGCCUUAAUUACAUGGAAUCAGGACUAGUUGUAGUUGUUCCUGUCAAACAGGUAAAAUCAAACCCUUGGGCUUUCCUGAAGCCAUUUACUAUUGAGAUGUGGUUAGUCACCGGUGCAUUCUUCCUUUUUGUGGGAGUCGUUGUUUGGAUUCUAGAGCACAGGAUUAAUCACGAGUUCCGUGGUCCACCAAGGGAACAGCUCAUGACUAUUUUUUGGUUUAGUUUCUCGACGAUGUUCUUCUCACAUAGUAUGUAUUUCAUGCUUAAUCUUCAUUGAUCUCAGGAAUGCAAUUCCUGUUAGGAACUUCUAACAUCCUCUGUUACUGAACUUGGCUCAGGAGAGAACACUGAGCACUCAAGGACGGCUGGUGCUGAUUAUAUGGUUGUUUGUGGUGUUGAUUAUCAAUUCAAGCUAUACAGAUAGUUUGACAUCGAUCCUCACUGUACAACAGCUGACAUCACGGAUUGAGGGGAUAGACAGCUUGAUAUCAAGUAAUGAUCCAAUCGGAGUUCAAGAUGGGUCAUUUGCAUGGAAUUAUUUGGUUAAUGAGCUCAACAUAGCGGAAGUUGUCAAAACAAUGGUUGCCAAGGGAUAUGUUCUGGGACAAGAUGCAUUAAUCAAGGGGAUUUGUCAAAAUAAUGAGUCCUAUCAAGUAUCGGUUGCUACAACGUCCAAGGUUUAUGAGUUAGCAAUUGAAUAUGGGCUCAUCAAGGCAAAGAAG